AGAGAAGUCGUUAUGUAGGUUGGGUUGGAGGAAAGAUUACACGACUCAAGCAGUUUGGUUAGAGCUUCCCUUUUCCUUUCCUGUUCAGGAUGACUCUCACUGACUCUUGGUUCAGCUGGACUUUCCUUCUCCUCCUGGCCUGCUUACAGGACCAGCCAGUUUCAGCUGACUUCAAGGAAAAAGCACUUAUCAGACCCAAGUGGCCUGGCAAGAAAGCCAGCCCUGUGGCUCUCAGGAGCUACUGGAAGUCCAUGAGGCGCUUUCUGGAUUACCAAGAGAGGUUCUUAAGGAGAAGGCCAAAGAGAUUGGUGACCCAGCACUCCAAAGACCUGACCUCUCCUUUACUCCCUAUCUUAUGGAUUCCAGAAAGACCUCACCCCAUCAAACCUCUGAUGUCCAUUCUUUCCCCUGAUAAAAAGUUCAAUCAUGGAAGCAAGUGGACCUCUGGAUUGUCUCCCUCUCUCCCCACACUGUCAGAACUUCUCUCUGGUGAAUGGCCAGAUUCUUUGUCUGGGACAUAGACAAUAAAAUGGAAUCUCUGGCA
Antechinus flavipes (yellow-footed antechinus) is the source of this 544-nucleotide long non-coding RNA. RefSeq lists it as uncharacterized. Lineage: Eukaryota; Metazoa; Chordata; Mammalia; Dasyuromorphia; Dasyuridae. The record is from RefSeq and is a predicted model, not a curated record. The transcript is spliced from 3 exons.